This 1008-nucleotide long non-coding RNA is filed under the name Carassius auratus (goldfish). Its description in RNAcentral is "lncRNA (ENSCARG00000009543.1)". The record is from RNAcentral. Lineage: Eukaryota; Metazoa; Chordata; Actinopteri; Cypriniformes; Cyprinidae.
CCAAAUUUGCUAAAUGAACUCAAAAUAAAAAAUAUUAACUCAGAAUUGAGAAACAAGCUCAAAAUUGCGAGAUAUAUUAAUAAUUGUGAUAUAAAUAGAAUUGGGAAAACGAAAGUCAGAAUUGAUAAAUAAACAAGAUAUAAGCAAGAUAUAGACUCAAAAUUGCUUUAUAUAAAUUUAUAUAAAUUCAGAAUUGCGAUGUAAACAACUGUGGGAUCGAAACUCAGAAUUAAAAGAUAUAAAUUAUAUUAUAUAUUUUAAAUAUAUUAAAAGAUUUAAAUUAAAAAUUGCAAUGUAAACAAAAUUGUGACAACGAAAGUCAGAAUUGAGAGAUAUAAUUUAAGAAUUGCAAUGUAAAAAGAAAUUGUGAUGUAAACAUAAUUGAGAGAAAUAAAAUAAGAAUUGCGAGAUAUAAAGUCAGAAUUGACUCUUACGACUGUUGCAAUGAUAUAUAAUUACUUUGUAUAAUAUACACAUUUUGAUGGGGUGAAACUGGUGUCUGUUAUUGCCAAAAAAGACAUAAAGUGCAUGAGACAGAACAGCUGCACGUCUCAUUUCAAAGUAACAAGACGAGUCGACCUUGAAGAGCACCGCAGCGCCUCUGUUAUUGUGGAGGACUGGAGAUCGGUCUGAAUAAUGAGCGAGCCGUGUUUCAGCUGUGUCCCAUUAACCUUCCCAUCCAUAUGAGAUCAAAGAUGGCGACGGGAGGGGGCCGCAUGGAGAUCAGCUGUUGCACGGUUGUUGCACCAUCACUUGAGCCCACAUGAGAGCGUUUUCUCACAGAUGUUAAAAUAUGUAUAAAGACGAUUUCACAGACCUGCCGGGCAAAUCGAACGCUGAGACGCAAAGGGAGGAUACACAUCACAGCCGAGUGAAGAAAAAUCAAUGCAGAAAGGUUUUUUACAGCUCGAUGAGGCAAAAGAUUGAAAUAAACGAAGGCCUUUGUAGUGGAAAACGCUCAGAGAUCAGUGUUUCUGGGUUCUCUCUGAUGCUGAUGCUGCGAACGCU